AUAAAAAAAAAAGGUGAGAAUGAGAGUGUACCUUGCAAGCAGGUAAUAAAGCACUAUCAUGAAAUAGAGUUAGUGCGCAAUGAUAAGUGUAAAAUGUCUCACACAAAACCAAUUAAAAUCAAACAAUAUCAAUUAUGCAAUUCACUUGAAUUAUUUUAGAAAUAAAUGUUAUGAAUAUUGGGUCCCCACUAAAGCCCAAUUGAUUUUGUAUGAAUUAAUCCCACAAAUUCCAUUAUUUUAGAAUUAUAAAAAAUUUAUUCAUGUUUAUUAAAAAUCAAGAGAAACAAAAUAUUAUUUGAAAAUCAAAGGAAAUUUGUGAAAGUACUUACUUGAAGGGAAAGGUAGUAAGUUUAUUAAAAACGAGAUUUUUGGUGACCCUAAACCUUAAGGAAAUACAGAAAAUUGAGGACUUAAAAUUAUUUGAAAACUUGAGUGAAUUUAAAAUUAUUUGAAAAAAAAAAAAAAACUAGAGUUUAGAAAAUUAAAUUUGAGAAUUGAAAUUUUGAAAAAUUAUUUAAAAAUGGGAGUUUUGAAAAUUAAAUUUGAGAAUUGGAAUUUUGAAAAAUUAUUUGUGAAUGGAAUUUUUAAAUUUUGAAAAUUAAAUUUUAGAAUUGGAAUUUUGAAAAAUUAUUUGAAAAUAGAAGUUUUUAAAAAUUGGAGUUUUGAAAAUUGGAGUUUUGAAAAUUGGAGUUUUGAAAAUUAUUUGAAGAUUGAAGUUUUGAAAGUUAAAAUUGGAAAUUGAAAUUUUGGAAAAUUAUUAGAGAAUUGAAGUUUUGAAAAUUGAAAUUUUGAAAAAUUAUUUGAGAAUGAGAUUUCUUAAAAAUUAAAUUUAAAAAUUAGAAUUUUGGAAAAUUAUUUGUGAAUGAAAUUUUUAAAAAUUAAAAUAAAUUUUCAACAUACAAGGAUAAAGAAACGAGAGGAUGGCAUAUGGCCGUCGGGAUACUGGGAAGAGCCCAAUCCGAAGUGGGGUUGGGCAAUGGGUGGACACAAAUGCACAUCCAUUUUAGAGACGCUGAUACCUCACUGAGUACUCCAAGUAUUGAUGGCUGGGACAUAUCAUUUCAUUGACCUUACCCCCGUUCUUGUAAAUCUUGAAGGUUGGAACACUUUUUAUGCUCUCGGCUUUUGCUACUGUUGGGCUCUCCUCCACUUCACCACCAAACUUCACACUAUGAGUUUCCUCCUCCCAUGAUUUUGGCAAUGCAGCCUGUGCCUGGGAUAGAGAUUCAGCAACCUCAAUGUCUCCAAGAAGUUCCCUCCUCAAGACCUCAUAAUAUUUCACUGUCUCUGCCCAUCGUCCAAGCUUCCCAUUUGAGACAGCUCUGUGAAGAAGAGCCUUGGUGUAAUUUGGUUGGAUCUUGAGGGCGUGGUUGCAGUCCUUCAACCUGCUCUAACCUGAAAGUGCUCCUCCAAUCUUCCAAAGACUGGUAAACUUCCUUCCUCCUUGCUACCCACGGCUCGCCUCCUUCAACUUCUCUAUCUAAUGCUCAUAUCAUCAUCAUUUGAAGCUCUCCCGUUCCAGCCAUCUCCCUAGCUCUGUUUUUCUCCCAAUCCCAAAAAGUCUCUUUCGUUUCUUGCUACUCCCUCUUUUCUCUGUUUUUUUCUUUUCUUCAACGUCCUCCUAAAAAAACCAAUUUUUUCUGCCACCAUUUCCUUUCCCCCCGGAUCAUCAUCUACCCAGCCUUUUCUUCUCUUCACCCAAAAGUUCCCUGUUCCAGCCAUCAUUCCUCGUUCAGAGUUGUCCCUCUCUCAACCACCACCAUGGCAAGUUGGUGGUCCUUGCCACACGUUUCAGCAGCUCGUUCAUGGAAGCCGUCCCCCACUCCUCCAAAAUGAAAAUCCCAGCUCUUCCCGGGUGACCAGCUAUCAUCCUCUGGUCCAAGAGGGGUCUACAGGAUCAUUACAAAUUUUAUUAAAAUCCCUAUCCCAAUAUGAAAGUUUGUUUGGAAGCACUUCGUAAAUAGUGUCUAUUUGCUUGAUCCCUCAAUUCUGUAGAAUACAAUAAAGAUAUUGUGUUUGUAUGGGGAUGGUUAUGAUAUCUUAUAUUGGAUAGAAAAAAAUGUUUAUGAUGCUAGAUAUACGUAUAUGAACUCUUAAUUAUGUGGACAUAUUUUAUAGUUAUAAAAGUCCAUCAAAUCUAAAACUGACGAUAUCUAUAUGCUUUCAUUGAAAGCAGAUUGUUAUAAAAUUGAAUUAUGUUAACUUGUGUGGUUAUCUAAUAACUUUAUGUUAUGUAUUUAUUCUGUGGUUAUCUAAUAUGUUGUGUAUUUCAUUGUAUAGUUGUUAGGCACAACUCACAAGCAGUGCUGAUGAGCAGCAUGGUUCAUAGACUUUUGGCUAUGGCAUCUUCUUUCUGGUCACAGUGGUGCAACAUUGGCUAUGGAGGUGCUGGACUCUUUGUCUCUUUUGCGGUUAUUGCUGUGGGUGCAAUCUCAUGGCACAUAUUGAGGAAGGAAAGUCUUGCGUUGCCACCAGGUCCUCGAGGCAUGCCUGUACUAGGCAACCUCCCAUUUCUACAUCCUGACCUUCACAGCUGCUUUGCUAAAAUGGCUCAAAAAUAUGGCCCGGUGAUGAGGCUUUGGCUCGGUAACAAGCUUACUGUUGUACUGAGCUCACCCUCUCUAGCAAAGGAGGUUCUUCGAGACAACGAUGCUAUUUUUGCGGACCGGGACACGCCAAUUGCAAUGCUAACGAUGACAUAUGGUGGCUCUGGGUUGAUAUGGGCGCGGUGUGACCAAAACUGGCGCAUGCUUCGGAAGGUUUGGGUUGGGGAGAUGCUAAGCAAAGUGAGCCUUGACAGGCUUUAUGCUCUUAGACACCGAGAGGUUUGGGAUUCGAUGAGAAGGAUAUAUGCAAAUGCAGGUACAUCAGUAAAUGUCAAUGAGCAUACCUUCUCGGCUAUGAUAAAUGUGAUUACCAGCAUGUUAUGGGGAAGAACCCUAGAAGGUGAGGAAAGAAGACAUGCAGACAAAGAGUUUCGACAAGUGGUGUGGGAAAUGUUUGACCUCUUAACAAAACCUGAUGUUUCAGAUCUUUUUCCUGUUUUGGCCCCAUUGGAUAUACAAGGCAAGAAUAGUAAGAUGAAGAAGCUAGGAUCAAGAUUGGAUCGGAUUUUCGACUUCAUCAUCAAUCACCAUGAAGUUAAAGGACUAAGCAUGGAAGGGAUAGAAAACAAAGAUAGAGAGCACAAGGAUUUACUACAGAUCUUUCUGCAGAAUGAGGAAGGCUCUAAGGGAAUCUUGGACAAGACUCAACUCAAGGCCUUGUUCUUAGUAAGUCUCUUGUCCAUAAUCUCUUUCCUUGUUCUUGCAGUGUCGUAAAAUUUAAUGAUAAUUUGGUGACAUAAUAACAAUUUCCUGCUUUUUGCAAAAUCAAAAUUAUCUGUCUUUUGAAACUCAUCUUGGCCAAAGCAUAAUUCUUGUAGUAGUAACCCCAAAGACUGUCAUAAAUCUCCUACCGAGUCAAGGGAACUUGCCUCGUUUGAUCCAAACUAAGAAGGUACUAGUUAGAUUUAGUAUCUACAAAGUUGGGUAAACUCAGUUAAUCUCCAAAUUGAGUUAAAAGAUUUCCUAGGAAGCACAACAUAAGAUUGAUGCAUGUCUAGGCUUAAGAUAAAUGUUGAAAAGUAGUGUUUCCUAGGUAGUUAGGAUAAAUUCUGGUCCAAAAUUCCAACCCUCACGCUUGGCUAGGGCCAAGAAAGUCGUUACAUCUGCUUGAAGAGGUGCUAAAAUUCAAGAAAGUGUUUUGACAAAACUUAAUACUUAAUUAAUUAAGUUGCUUUUAAGUUAAAUCAUUAUUAAGUUGUUGAGUUAAAAUUUAUUAUUUAAUUUUUUUAUUUUUAAGUAUUAAGGUUAUUUGAUAAAAUUAACUUAAAAUUUAUUUUAAAUUAUCAACUUGAAGUAUUUAGUUGCAUUAAUUUUAACUAAUAUUUAUCCUUAUUUGCUUUAAAUAAUGUUUAUUUCUAUGAAUUUUAAAUAAUAAAUUUGUUUGUUAAACACCUAUAUUUAAAAUAUUGUAAAUAUAUAAAAUAACCAUGAAAUAUUUAUUAUAAAAAGUGAGUUAUGAAUGUGGAAUUAUAGUUGUAAAAUAUAUUAUCAUUAGAUGUGAGCAAAUGAGGUAAAAAUAAAAAAUAAAAAAUAAAAUUAAGAAUAAAUUAUUUAUUUUAAUUUAAUCCUUAAAAUUACUUUAACUUUAAGUUGUGAUAUUAAGUUAUUUUACUAAAUAUAUUUAAUUUAAAUAAGGACUUAAAUUAAGUUAUUAAGUUAUAUUAAAUCGUUAAGUUGAUUUAUCAAACACCCUCUAAGUGUCAAAUGGAGCGUAGAAUUUUAGCCAUUGCUCAAUUGAUUAAUGUUGAUUGAUCAAUGGCUGAAUAUCUUGCCUAGUAUUAACUCCAACUGUUUUAGGUGAGAUUGGUUUGCAGCCAAUUCUUUCUGUAUGACAACAACUUACCACUUAAAUUUUGACAAUUAGGACAUGGUAGCAGCAGGAACAGAUACAGCAUCAAGCGCAGUAGAAUGGGCGAUGGCUGAACUGAUGAACAAACCCGAAAAAAUGGAAAGAGCCCAAAAAGAACUAGAACAAGUGGUUGGUAUGAACAAUAUGGUAGAAGAGACUCAUCUCCCAAAACUUCCUUUUCUAAAUGCCGUAGUAAAGGAAGUUCUAAGGUUACACCCUCCCGGACCAUUCCUGGUGCCUCGUCGCACUCGUGAGCCAUGUGUUCUAAGGGGCUAUACAAUUCCAAGCGGCACACAAGUCCUGGUAAAUGCGUGGGCGAUACAUAGAGAUCCUGAAUUUUGGGACAGUCCUUCAGAGUUUCAGCCUGAAAGGUUCUUGAGCGGGAGCUUGAAAUGUGAUUAUAGUGGAAAUGAUUUUCGAUAUCUUCCUUUCGGGUCAGGGAGGAGAAUUUGUGCAGGAGUUCCAUUAGCUGAGCGAAUAGUACCACAUAUCCUAGCUUCAAUGUUACAUUUGUUCGAUUGGAGGCUACCGGAUGGGGUGAAUGGUGUCGAUCUCACUGAGAAGUUUGGCCUAGUGUUAAGAAAAGCGACGCCCUUUGUCGCAAUUCCGAAGCCAAGACUAUCAAACCUAGACUUAUAUACUUAAAUGCAUGCUUUUUUUCUUCAAUGGAGUAGAUACUCAAAAUAAUGGCCUCUUUACUUAACCAAUUUUCAGGUGCUGUUAUAUUAGUUUGCAAUCUAAGAUUUCACUAGGACAGAAAAGUUUUUAAGUUUCACCUCAAUUAAGUCAAAAUAAGUUGAAACUUUGGGAAGGAAACUUCAAUUUACUCAAAUUCCAAAUGACAAGGCUAAAAAUUGUCAUAAGAAUUAGAGUUUACAUCUAAUAUUUUUUAUAAAGCAUUAAAUGGGUAUUUGAUAAAACUUAAUACUUAUUGCUUUAUUAUUUAAAUUGAUUUUAAAUUAAAUUAUUAUUAAGUUGUUAAUUUCAAACUUAUUAUUUAUUUUUUACUUUAAAUAUUAAAGUUGUUUGAUAAAAUCAAUUUAAAAUUUGUUUUAAAUCUAUCAAAAUGAUACACUUACCCUUAUUAAUUUUAACUAAUGUUUCUCCUCAUUGAUUUUAACUCAUAUUUAUUUUUAUUAAUUUUAAGUAAUAAUUUUAUUUAUAAAAAGUCUAUAUUUAAAGUAUUGUAGAUACAUAAGAUAAAUAUAAAAAUAUUUAUCAUAAAAAAUGAGUUAUGGAUGUGGAAUCAUGAUUCUAAAAUAUGCUUUCACCCAUAUAGGAAAUUGAGGUAAAAAUGAUUUGAGAUUAAAACUAAAUUUACUAUUUUAACUUAAUAUUAAGAGUUAAAAAUAAUUUUAAGAUGUAAUAUUAAUUUAUUUCACUAAAUAUGUUUAAUUUAUUUAAUGAUUUAAAUUAAGUUACUAAAUCAUAUUAAGCUAUUAAGUUGAUUUAUCAAACAUUCUAAAAGUUUAGAAUAUCUUGAGAGAUUGCUAACUUCAAUUUUUUUCUAGUGCAAUGGUAAACAAUAUUAAUUUAGUAUGCGUGAUAUAAUUGAUUACUCAAUAAUAGAUAAAUUUACGAUAAAACUGUAAAGGAACUUCCUAUUCAAUAUUUGAUUUAAGCUAAUUAAUACAAAGCCAAAAAUGUAGAACUUGUAGGUAUGCAUAUGCAACAAAGUUUAAUUCUUUAUGACUUCAAAAAUUUACAGUGUCAACUUAUUAAGCUUGACUUAUUUAGUGUCAUGUAGAUAAAAGAACUGAAAGGAUCUUAAUAUUAAUAACUUAUUCACCUAAAACUAUGCUUAUAACCUACGGCCAUAUAGCUUCAGUAUUAACUUAUCAUGUCACCAAGACCAUUUAUUCACCUUUACACCAAUCAUUGCUUAUAUUUGGCACCGCAUCAAUCAAACCAUUUCUAAGUAAGAAACCCCAUUUUCUCUCUAUUGCUAAGCUAAAGGGUGGUUGGAUAUGAAGGAGAUUUUGUUUUCUCAUAAAUUAAUUUAAUGCAUUCAUAUUUGCCCAUUCAAAGCAUAAUGUCAUGGACAUGGGUAUUUCCCAAGCUUAUAUGUGGUACUUAGACAACUCAAGCCGCUAAGUGAGCCUUUUCUCAACUUAACUUUUCAUACUAAGCAAUGUACACGAAUUGAACACUAUGAACAACAAAGGAAGCAACACUCAAAGAGUUUGAAAAAAAUGAAACUUGUGUUGCACUAAAAUGCUUUACGAGACUAAGAAUGCUCUUAAGUAUUUGGUGCCUUAACUAAAUGAGAUUAUCCCCUAUUUAUAGCCACCUAUAGAACUCUUUAAAACCCUCAACGGUUCUUUAUAUCUAUAGAAUUUUCUAUAAUUACCUACACAAAUCCUAUGUACAAGCUCUAUACAAGAUAUUUUCGGAACUCUCUAUAUUUCUCUACAUAUUUUUAUUGUCUUCCAUUCUUGUGUAGAAAUUUGUGAAUAUCUCUAGGCUUCUCUAAAAUCUUCCACACUUCUCCACUAGUAGACUAGUGUAGAUGAUUUUAGGGGUUUCGAAAGCUUUUUGUUCACUAUAAAAGCUCAAAUAAGUGUCAUUUUGAUAAGUUGUGACAAUAAGUUAACAAUCACCUUGUCUAUUUUUCAAGUUUAAUAUUUCAACUGGUAAUCCAUUUGAAUUGCCUCCUAUGCGAUGCUUGUAUUGAACUAGGUGAUCCUAAAGUUAAAUGUGAACAUUUUGCUAGUUAGAUUUGAUAGACAAGCAGUAACUGUUGUUUUGGUCACUUGAUUUCUGCAUUGACCACAUAAUGCUCACAUUUGCAUGUAGUAAGCUCAUUAGUUGUGGUUUCACGGUAAGGUGUCAAACUUAGUGACAACAUUAUUAUUGAUUAAGAAUAAUUGAACUAUUUCUAUGUUGAAGGAUGUACUCAUUUUCUAAGUAUUUUUAUUUUUCAAUGAAUUUGGCUUACUUACAAAAAUGAAAAGUAAUUUAGAAAUUCGUACCGUAAUUGAUUUUGGAUAUAUUUAUAAUCUAAAAGUUAAUUUUAUAGUGCAAUUUGCAUGAGUAAAUAUCAAACAAAGUCCUGGUUAUUUAUACUUUCAAAGACUAAGUUGUGGGUCUGGUCUGGCUGAACUGUCGAUCGACAAUAUCUUCGGUUCGGGUGGCGGCUGAACCAAUUGGCACCAUUGGCCUUAAAAGAUAGAUGGUUUGCAAAGCAACCAUUUUAGUUGUGAGAGUACAAUAAUAAAAAUUGAAUUGAGCAGUAUUUCAAACUAUAUAAUUCACGCCAAUCAUGAUAGAAGUUCAAGGUACAAGAAAACCAUUAUUCAUAAACAAAAAGUUUAGUUGCCUUUCAUUAGGCAUCACAAGCUGUUCCUCCAGGUCCCCCAAAGAGCAUAGCAUACCGCCGUGGCUCUCCCGUAUAUCCUUUAUAUGCCACUUGAUAACAAUUAGGAUUAGGGUUGUCUGUAAUUUCGAGCAAGCUUGUAUUUUUGGGUUCAAAAAGUAUAUUUGAGGAGUCAACAAGUUGCAUAUUACUAAUAAAGCAUGUCCUUGAAAAAUCAUUAGCAUCGAAAUGGCCACUACCCAUUGGUGGGGCUGGCUGAUUUAGAGGGCUAUAAGCCUUUCCUCCAAAUUGAAUCUCUGAGGCAGAGUCAGCCAUGGUUGUGAAUAUGGAUUUUGGCCAAUAACCAAUGAAUUCUUUUCUUCCAUGCUUUGUUUCAUGUGCCAUCCACCAAUUUCCUGAUUUUGGGUCCUACAGUCCAAAAGGACAAAAAAAUGCAUUAGUGGUGUAAAUAUUUUAGCAUAAAGUAUGUACCUAAGAACAUGAUAGUAAUGAGCAUGAUUAAUACGUAGUCUUGCAUACUUCAAUUUGGACGUGUGUUUAGCACUGAAAUAGAGAAAUUUUGGACUAAAUCACAAUAUUGUGUGCAAGAGGAAAACAUAAUUUUGAUAAGAGUGAGUUUUGAUUUUAAUGAUUGUUUUCUUUUAUUGAUGUUCUAAUUUAUAUUAAUUCAACAUAAUAUGAAUGAGCAACCGAAAAAAAUUAGGUUUUGUUCAAAAAGUGUUUUGAAAAACAAUUCUAAAAAAAAAAAAUUUAAGAAUAAUUUUUGAAAACUUUUCUUUCAUAUUUUGUAAAAUAAAAGUCUGUUUGAAAACCUGAAAUAUUAUUAAGUUGUUUUCUAUGUUUUUAAAUGUAUUUUUAAAAUAACUCUUAUAUGUAGUUUUUCAAUUUUAAUCAUUUUUUUAUAUUUGCAUAAUUAUUUUUUAAAAUAAUUAUUUUUAAAAAUAAAAAUAAAAACAACUCAAAUAUAUUAUCUGAAAACACCAUAUUUUUUGUUUUUAAGAAUAGAAAACUAUUUUCUAUUUUCUACUUAUCUAAAAACAUCAUAUGUAUGUAUGUAUAUAUGUAUAGUUUUUACCUUGAAAAUGAGUAUAUCCAACAUAUAUUGCACAUCCCCACCGUACUCGGAAAUCGGAAGUAUCUGACCCAAAUAGUUUUCUCGACUAAUUUGUACAAAACCAGGGCACAAAGAGUUGAAACACCCGGUUGUUCGAUAAUUAUCAGCCUAAUAUUGCAAACCAAAUAUACGUCUAAUUAACAUAUUCAAACCAACAAUUUUAUAUGAUAAAAUUUCAUGUAAAUAAAAGUUUCGAAGUCUUACAGUCCAAUAAGUAAAAGAUCUUGUGUGGUUGUCUCCAAACAAUUUCGGAUUUAUCUGAAAGCAUCCAAAAUAAAAAAUAAAAAAGUUACAACAUGCAUAUUAAAAGAGCUAGAAAAAUCAUUUUAGGAAGAUCAUAGAGUUAGAUCACUUACAGUCCAUCCGAAUUGUAUGUUAUUGGUUUGUUCAAGACUAUUCUGAAUCCAUAUCGAAGCUUCGCUGAAUUGGUUUUCUGAAACUUUUACGUUACGGAUGUUGAUCUUUGCUGCAGCUCCACAAUAUCCUUUGGACGUGUCUGGUGCUGUUUUGACCAGUUGGAACUUCAUGCAAGACACGAACAUGAAUCAAUACUUUAUUUCAAUUAAUUUUUUGACAUGUCUAAUGUUGUGUGUAUACAUCAUGAGUUGGAAAAGAUCGGAAGGCUUACAUGAAAUCCAAAAUAUUUUGAGGUAGAUGGAUGAGCAUUUGCAUUUGCGCGAUAAUGAUUUGAGACGGCUUUUGCUGCAACUAAAUCUUCCUUCCUAGUCCUUCGUACGAGGACUGUUCCUUCGGGACAUUUUUCCAGUGUCUUGGGCAUGGGGUGUUGCGGUAUUGAAUCUCUAAUGUUUGGAAUUUCUUUAGGGAGAGAGCUAGGUGUCAUCUGUUUACAAGGUAUUUAGACAUGAAUCAGUUCAUUUCUAAUAAGAGAAUCAAUCAUAAGAAUAUAAAAAAUGAGAAAAAUGGGUUAUGAUUCACUAAUUUGAAAAUAUAUCCACAAAUUUUUUAAAUCGGUUUUAUUUUCAUCCAUUUGAAGAAAAACCUCAAAUAAUUAUUUCUUGAGAUGAUCCUUUCACUUGUUAUAUCAAUAAUGCUAAUUAGCAAGUCAAUAAAAUAGAUGUUUAAUUGUAAUGAACCGAUCUCCCUUUUACUUUUAUUUUUUUUUUAAAUAAAAAAUAAAAAUCAUGAGGUCGGACUUAAGAUUUAAAAAAAAAAAAAAAAUACAACUAAAACUAAAAUACUUAAAAAUUAAAUACAAAUAAAACAAAAAAAAAACUUAAAAAAUAAGUAUAUGAUAUCUAUAUUUUUAACUAACAUAUUUUACCAACAAAAUGAAAGUCAAUAUUUUAUUUUUAUAUUUUUAGCUUUCAAAUUUUUUAAAAUUUUUUAUUUUAUUCUCCAUGUUAACCAAUAAAAAUUUUAUUCAAUUAUAUUAAAAUAUAUAUAUAAUAUAAAUAUAAAAUCAUUAUUAACUAAAAAAUUAGAAAAUAUUUUAUUUAUCAUUUGAGAAUCCUUAAAAAAUUUCCACAAUGAUUUGUACCUCAUAUUAAAUAAUAAAAAUUUAUAAUAUAUUUAUCUAUAAUAUAUUUUUAUUACUUUAAAAUGAUAAAUUAUUUUUUUGAUAAUUUUAUUUAAUAUUAUUAAGUAAAAUAUCAUUUCAAAAAAUAAUUAUCAGACUUAUAAAAAAGUGCAUGUAUUUUAAAAUAUUUUUAAAUUGAUGAAGAUAAAACUGAGAUUCUCCUUUUUUUCAUAAGUUUUUUUUUUUUUCCUUUUUUAUCUAUCACUUAACAAAAAAACAUGUUUUCUUUUUCAGAAGGGAUUUGCAUUUACCUGGAUUUUAUGAUCUUUAAGCAAUGGGUGAUCAAAAGCAGGUUGCUUGUUGAUAUCAAUGCAAUCCAGAAUGCUUCCAUCCACAUCCUGUCAUACAUAAAUAUGCAUCCAUUAGAUUUUUAAUUCUAAAGAUGUUAGUAAUGGAACAAACUGAUGAACUAAACUACCAAAAAUGUGCAUAUUCAUAUUUUUCCGAGAACCAAACAUAACCCUAUUGUUUUAUUCAAAUAUUUGAUACAAACAAGCGAGACUCCGAAUCAAAGUGCACUACAACUUUCAGGAGGGUAGAUUAAAGUAGAAAUUGAAAAUCCUUGUUUGAGAAGAAAAAAAUGAAACCAAAAACUUGAAAAUUAAAAUGGUGAGACCUGGAAGGAUUUAACAGGCGGUUUAUUCAAAAUCUUGAGUUGUCUUUCUAGCUCGGACUCUUCUUUCUCCAGGACACUAAUAUUUCUUUGGCUCCUCCAAUUUAGACCAAGAAAAAUUAGUGCAAAAACAAGUAAAAUCUUCAUCUUGCUAGCAUCAAGCAGUUUCUGAAUCUAAGUCUAUUAGACUUUUAUGCAUAGGCUCAACCAUUAAUGAAAAUUAAUAGUUAAUACUACGAUUGUUUUUUUUUUUUUUUUUUUGGUGCUGCAAUUAAUGGAAAUUAGUUGCAGAAAUGAAUCAAAUAAUAAUUUUUCUGUAAGGGAGUACUACCUUUAGUGUGGAUAUCCCCAUUUUUGCUAUUAGACUUUUGCAUAUAUAGCUCAACCUAUUAAUGUUGAAAUGAAGAUAUAAUUAGCAUAUAUAUGUAUGUGGUAUAUUUUUUCUGGUUAUGUCAUUAAUGCAAAUUAAUGGCAUAAUGUAUAGAAUGAGUUUUCUAUACACCACCCCAUUUAUUUAAAAUAAUUUUCAUCUUUGUCCCAUUAAAAAAAAAAAAAAAAAAAAAAAAAAAAAUCUUAUUCCCCUUUUAACCUUUUUUGAAAAUUUUCUAAUUUAAUUACAUUAAAAAAUAAAUAUUUUAUAAAUAAUUAAAAUAUUAAAAAAAUUGUAAACUAUUUUAUUGAAAAGUAUUUUAUUAUUGUUAUUAUUACUAUUAUAUAUUUAAAAAUAGAAAAAUAAAAAUUAAAUUAAUUUAUAUAUAAUCGGAGUAGGGCAAAGCGGGACAAGACAAUACUCGAACUCAUCCUAGUUUUUUUUUAAAAAAAAUCUUAAACCCACCCCUAACUUAUUUAUUUAAAUUUCAAAUAUGUUCCAUUAGGGAUAGUGUGAGUAUCUACUCGUCUCUCCUCCUUAUUUAUAGUCAUCCAAUUAGUGCAAAUUAAUACUUACAAACAGGUAAUAUGUUUUUUUUUUCUAUUCUAUUAAACCAAAUUUUUGGUGAUUUAUGUAAUGAAUGCUAAUAGGAUGGCUAUAAACAGGGAAGGCAAUGAGACGAGUUUUUUUGGGACCCAAAAUUUUUGGUGAUUUAUGUUUUAUUGAAAAAAAAAAUCUUUAAAUUGUACACAAAGAUCAAUUGAAUUUGGCCUAUUUGUCUUAGAGAUCACUAUUUUCUUUCUUAUAUAUAAUUCAUUAUUUGUCAAUUCUUUGGUAUAUAAUAUUGAUGUGAAACAUAAACAACAAUCAUGAUACAUGUGCUUGUAAUUUCUAAAAUUGAAAUUAAACCACAACAUAUUAUAAUUUGGGUAUAGUGAUCACGAUCAAGAUUUAGAAUAGACGACCUAUUUGACAUAAUUGUAUUAGUUUGGACUAAAGCAUUCGUGGCUUUGACUUUCUUCUUAUAAUCAUAGUCUGACCUAUUCUCACAAAAUACAUAAACCAACAUUGGCAACCUUGUAUUAACUUUUGUUGUAUCAAUCAAGUUCUCGCCACUUGCUUCUAUGCCAAAAACUAGUUCUACAUUUGGGGGUAUUAACAUUGCCUGCAAAAUCAGAGUAGGAAUUUUAGUAUUCAAAUUUUCACCCAAUUCAAUAUAUACAUAUAUUUUUCAAUUUAAAAUCAAAUGAGAUGAAAAUUACCUGAAUUAUACCAACAUGAUAUCUCUUGAGUGGUUUAUCUCUAUUGAUGACCAUGUUCCAGGCUAAUAUAAACCAUCAACCAUCCAAGUAGCUUUUGGAACUUUAAUGGGUUUCGAAAGAUUGCCCCUCAUCUCCAUUUAUUUCUUCUUUGCUCGAAGCUCUUCAUAGGCAUUAUAUGCAUUCGAUCUUCACCUUAUAGAUUCUAGUAAGGAGUUGAUUCUCACCUCGAGUUCAUCAUAUUCCCUCUUUACUCUCUUUCUCUCCCUAACAAAAUCAAACCUUACUUUGUUCUUCAAGAAGUCAUGUUUUUGCACAAAAUAUGCCUUUUUUAAUAAUGAAAUAGGUGUAGAGAAGUAUUAUUUUAUUUUUAUAUUUGACAUGUCAAAUUAAAUGAUAAAGAUAAAUAUAAAUACAUUAAUAUUUUAAAUUUUAUUAAAUAGAAUGUAUAUAUAUAAUUGUAGACCUCAAAAAUUGUCUCAAACCCAUUUCUAAUUGUGGUUUUUAGGCCUUUUUAUUUUCUAUGUUUUCUUGGCCUUUUCUGAUUGACUUGUGGCCUAAGGUCCAAGCUCAUUCCUUUAUAUCGAUUUUUAGAGAACCAAUCUAUACCCUCCAUUUUUAGGCUUCAAUCCCUAUUGUUUAGUCAAAAUAAGCCCUAAAGACCCAUCUUUUCUCUCUAACCGCCACCCUUAUUUUCCCUCUUCCUUCCUUUUUCUUCUCCCUUCUCUUUCUUUUCUUUCUUCUUUCUUCCCUCACCACAUCCACUGUACCUCAACCCCCACUAUCACCACUCUCAUUGACCAUCACCAACGACACCACUCCGACCAACAACCCCCUUCUUCUUUCUCAUCUUACCAUCUCUCUCUCUCUCUUUCUCUCUCUCUCUCUCUCUUACCACCUAUUUUCUCUUACCACCCCACCUAGCCUCUCAACAAGCCAAUCGAUGUCGACUAGUCAUCAAUGUCGCCAUUCCGAUGGAUUGGAGGCAAAGGUUGUUGGAGGCUUGGAGGACAAUAAGCAAGGGGGUUGUUUUGAAUAGGAAAAUGGAGGGUCAUUGAACCAUUCAGUCCUUGAAGAACUGCUCGAUUCACCCAAUUCAUUGAUCCAACUGUCGAUUCAAGUGGUUCAUGGCCAGUUCAAUAGCUAAAAGGUUCAAGAGAGGAGACUAUACUCAAAAGACCAUUGGUUAGUGAUCAGACCUAUUGGAUCGACCGAUCCAAUCCAGUUUUUAAAACAUUGGUCAAUAUAAUCAAUCAAUCAUCAUUCUUGAUGUGUUAGCUUGGAGUUAGUGAUUAACUCUUUUUCUAUGUAAUCAGCAUAGUGUAGGCUUUAGUAGUACAAUUGAAGACUUUAAGGCAUGAAUGGUUACACUACUUUGGCGAGCAUGCUAAUUAUUAGAAGAAUAGUUAAGUGCAUAGCCCUUACAAAGAUAUGAAUGGUGCACAAGUAUAAAUGGCAUCCAAAGGUGCACUAUGUUAUUGGUAUAAAUGUCAUCCCAAGUAUAAAUGUCAAUAGUUAAUUACACAUUUCAAGCCUUGAGGAGGUGCAUUGUGUGAACAUUCUACUAGCUUAGGUGAAAGGGUGCACAACUACUUGGCUUGGUGCACUUAACAAGCAUGCAACUUGAGUUGCCUAAACCGAGUACACAAUUUGGUCCAACACACUUAGGAGGUGAUCUAGAGAGCCUAAUGCGCUUGGUCUUCAGGGCACACAUAAGAGGUGUGUUUUGUGCUCUACGCUUAAGAGGAGUACACAAUUGAGUCUUGCACAUGUGAAAGGUGUGCAAUUUGUUUUUUCUCCCCAAAAAGCUCUUCCACACAAAAAAAAAAAAAUCUUAAAGCCUACAUAAUCCUCACAAAAUGCAUCAAAUAAAAGUUUUUAAGAUUCUAACAACAAGAUAAAGCAUUGGGUUAAUUCUAAAUUCUUGAAACACACUAAAAUGAGUUCUUUAGCACCAUAAAAGUGUUGAGUUUGAGUUCUUAUCACCUAACAACUUUUUUAACACUUUCAAUCUUUAUUCCCAAAGCCACAAUUGUUAUCUUUGGUGAAUUUACUAAUGGAAAAAAGAUUACAAGAAAGGUCGGCAUAUGCAAAAUCAAAUUCAGAUCAAGCAUUUUAGGAAUAGAAACAAAUCCCUUUCCUACAACUAAGGACAAAGACCUAUUAACUAUUCUUACCUUUAGGCUACUAGAACAUGGUAUGAUGAAAAUAAUUUAGUACAACCAAUCAUAUGAUUUUUUGCUCUUAAAUCUAUGAUAUAGGGAUCUUUUACAUUAGAAGAAACACUUAAGGCAUGAAGAAAUUACCUUUUUGGGCAAGGGAGCAUGAAGGAUUGGGAGUUGGAUCAUUUUUUUAUUGGUUAGUAAACAUAUGUAGAAGCUCUAAUUGUUCCUUUAUGAAGAGCUAAGUUCCGGCUCCUCCAAUGUUACUUGAUUGUGAGUUUUCAACCUAAAGAAAAAGGUUGUUUCUCUUUGGAAACCAGUUAUUUUUUAGUUUAGUAGGCUUCUCAUAAAUUUUCCAACAUGUUUCUCUGGUAUGUCUAGGUUUAUUACAAUAAUCACACCAAACUUUGGCCUUUUCUUCUCAUUUCCUAUAGUUUUUCUAACUAGAAACAAGGGGAGUUCUUCUCAUGAUUUUUCCAACAUGUUUCUCUAAAUUCUGACCAAUUUUUAGGCCAUUCAUCAUAAUAAUCCUCCUACUUUCCACUCUUCAUAUAUGCACAAGCAUCUCAAACAUAUGGGAGAGGUUCUUGUCCAAGGACUGUCCCCAUUGCUUCAUCAAGAUCCAAGUUUAAUCCUGCUAAGAAUUCAAAAACAUGUUAUUUUUCCAACAACCACUUAAACUAGGCAGCAUCUCUUACAUUCUCUCAUUCAACUUCACAAUACUGAUAUAACUCUUGCCAAAGACCCUUAAGAAUACAUAGUAUUUUGUAACACCCUAAGCUACCUGUUUCGUUUCACAGAUUCGAGUUUUAAUCUCAUAUACUUGAGCUGAAGUGCCUAAAUUUGAGAAUAUCCCACAUUUUCUUUGUUAUUGAUAAUGACAAAUAUGUUUGUCUGAUUUUUAGCUCCAUUGAGUUAACAAGCCAAGCCAUCACCAUCAAGUUUUCUACCUCCCAUGUUUGAAAUGCUUCCUCAUCUUCUUUUUCUAGUUGUUAUGUUGCUCCAAUGAGAUAACAAAAUUUUCCCUUGCCUCAAAUAAACAUGUUUUUUAUAGAUUGAGUACACAUUGCAAGUAGUUUUAUAUGUUUCGUUUGUGAGAUGUUUUAUGAAGGGAAGGAUUAGGUAGUAACUUGAAAUGCAUGUGGUGACUACUCAAUGUUUGACUUGGAUGUAGCUUCAUUACUUACACCAAACAUGAUUUUGAACAAAGUUGGAACAGGUUUUUUUUUAUAUGAAAAAAGAAGAAAUACGAAGGAACGGGCCGGGUUUACAAAUCAAAGUUACCAUGUAAACAAAUAUGGAUUGAAUAUGAAUUUUUUCAGUAUUAUUUGAGGAGUCCAAUUUGAUAUUUAUAGCCCAUACAAGAUGUAUUCAAAUAGGAAAGUGUACAAUUGUCAACCUAUUCUAGAAUAAGAAUUAAAUUUGAAUUGCAAAUGACAAUCCCAAAUUUAGCUCCCUAAAGUAAUGAAAUUUAACUCCUAAAAUAAUGCAAUUUUCAACAAUAAGAAUAUUACAAGGUAACCUUUUUUUAAUAUUAAAAAAAAAUUGGAAACUUUUUGAAUUCUUUUAGAUAAACUUCUCCUUCCAAACAAGUGGUAAGCACUUAUGCUUAGAUCAUGUCAUUGGUUCCCUAAGCAUUAAUUAUCUUUGAACUAAUAUACUUUUUGAGUAAAAGAGCAUUGAUUCCAAGGAGAUGGGAUGAUUUCCAAGAUGAGGUUUAGAAGCGGGAGGUAGAUGAUGAAUGGCAUUGGAAGUGGUGAUCAGAAAAUGCAGCAAAAGCUGGUUGAAAAUGUUGUAUUGUGAUUAACUAAAGAAAUAUGAAAGCAAAGUAGGCAUCAAGAGUGGAGAUCCUUUGAGAAAUGCACCCCCAAACUAGCCCCCCUCCUCAACUAGUUGCUUGUGGCCUAAGGUUGAGAGGGAAUCAAGAACUAGAACCGAUGCUUUUAACCUUGGGUUUAAGUUUAAUCUCUAAUUCUACUCAUAAAAAUAAUUUAGAAACUUUUCAUACUAAUUUUUUUGGAUAAGUUUGAAUGCUACCAAACUAAUUUUCUGUAGACAAAUAUGGAUGACUAAUAAAUUUUCAAAAAAUAUUUGAGAUGGAAUUAGGAACACAAUAAACUUUUCAAAUAUGAUGUUUUUUUAACCUUAUUUGAAAUUGAAGGAUGUCUCCAAAUAUCUAUAUUGAUGUGAAUCUCGAAAAAAAAAAAUUCUUGAGUUGGGUGCAAGAAAAUAAUAUGCAAGAAAACCUUUAAUUUUGACAUAAAUUGUCAAAUAUAUAGAUUUUAGAAAAAUACCUUAACAACUUUAAUAGAGAAUCAAGUACCAUAUUUUAGAGUACAUUUAGCAGUGAUGCUAGUAAGUAUUUUUAACAUUCCUAAUACUUCAAAUAUAAAAAUUUUCAAAUAUUAAAAUGACUAAUCAAUCACUCAUGUCAAACGCACUCUCAGUUAAAUAUCAAAAUGUUCAAUCUUUGUCUUAUGUUAGUUUGGUUAUUAAUUUGAUAGGUCCAAUUAAAUAACCCAUGAUAGCCUAGUAUUAAAUUUGAAGUUUUGAUUGACAAGGGAGCUAGAUAGAUGCUUUUAAUUUAAUGACAAGAUAAGUUUGUAUAGGAGUAGGUAAUGACAAAAAAAUUUAUUACAUGCUUAUCAUCUACUACUUUACCUUAGUAGUACAAAAAAAAAUUAUUGCUUGCUUAUCAACAAGUAUAUCAUAAAAGUAUUUAUUACAUGCUUAUCAACAAUGAAUUUGCAUUGCAUUGCAUUGGUGACUAUAUAUAAAACCCCAGGAACCAAGAUCAAAAUAGUGUUUGAAACUAUUUUUUGUGAACCAUCCUUGCUAGUAAGAUGAGAUUUUUGUAGUCGUUGUGCUAGCUUUUCUGGGUUUUAGUUGGAGAAUUCAGGGAAGGAUGAGCAAAUGGGAAGGAGAAGAAGAAAGAGACUUGGAAAAACAACUCAAGAUUUUGAACAAAGCACCUGUUAUGAGUUAUCAGGUCUUGCCAUUUGAACUUUGAGAUUUCCUUUUUUAUAUUUUCCCUUUUUUAGUGAGAUAUGCAUAAUAAUUACUAACAUAAAUUUGUAAUCCAACCUCUUAAAAAUGACUAUGCAUUUUAAGCCAAGGCUACAAGGGUGAAGGUGGUUCCAAGCCUAGCUUCUUGUUCUAAAAAAUUUAAAUAAAUUCAUAACCAUAAUCCAUUGGUUUUAGGGUAUUGAAGUUUAAAAUUGCUCUCAUUUGAAAGGAAAUAUUUAUGAUUUGAUGACUUGCUACUUAUUUUAAUGAUUUUAAAAUUAAAUAAUAUGGCAUUUAAAAUUGACAUAAUAUGAGAUAAUCCAAACUCAAAUGGUAAAUCUAAUUGAUCUCGUGCUCAAUUAGAUUGAACCUAAAUUGAAACUUUAAAUGCACUUAUGCUUUCACAUCCUUAAAAGUAUUUUUGGUUCUUGGAAAGUAUCAAGGAAAAAAAAACGCUAAGGAAAAUUAUUUUCUCAUAUUUAAUUGUCCUAUGAAAAAUAUUAAAAAAAAAUCAAAUAUAAUUAAAAUUAAUUAAAAACUUAUGCAUUUUUUAAUUAUUUAAUCUUUAUAUCGAUGAGUUGAAAUAAGUGAAAUGAGUUUGAAGUAUUAUAUAAAAAUAAUUUAUUAAUUUUAAAUCUAUUUUUUAUUUUCCUCAACUUUUUAUUUCUUCUACUUUUCCUCUUUAUUUUAUUUCCUUUACAUUUUCUCUCAAAUUUUUCGGGAACCAAAUAUAACCUAAAAUACGAAGGCAAGAAUAAAUAUUAAAUUGUAUCUAUACUUUAACUUUAUUAACUUUAAAUAUGAUGGAUGGAUAUGUAUAAUAACAGAUUGAGGGUCACGACAUUGUGGAUUGCAUUAAUAUCAGCAAGCAACCCGCUUUUGAUCAUCCAUUACUCAAAAAUUAUAAACUUCAAGUAAGUCUUUAAUCAUUAAAAUGAAGGUAUUUUUUUUUUUAUUCAAUUAGUAGUUUUUACCAAUAAUAUUUUGCCUAAAUGGUUGUAUUUUUACUAAUAAUAUUUUCUUUAUGAUAUGUUAAUAAAUCUAUAAACAGAUGAAACCUAGUUCUCUCCCUAAAGAAGUUACAAAGAUUGGAGAUUCCAUGCCAAGUAUGACUAAGAGAUAUAAAAGCAUAACAUGUCCAAGGGGAGCAAUCCCCAUCCGAAGGACUAGCAAAAGAGAUUUAAUAGCAGCAAAAGCUCUACUAUAUCAAUAUCGCAGAAAUACUUUUCCAUCUACCUCCAAAUCCCCAGGGUAUCAUGUAAGAAUACGAUUGCAUAUGUAUGAUUUAUCGUAUUCAAUUUAUAAUAUAUAUACGAAUAAUUAUACGUAAUUGUCGAGUUUAGUGAUUGAUUGAAAUAAAUCAUUUAUGAAUGUCCAUAUCUUAUGUGAAGUUUGCAAUAGCUAAAACAGUCCAGGACUCAUCCCAACAAUAUUAUGGAGCUAAAGUAGAUAUCAAUACACGUAGUGUGACGGUUUUAGACAGCCAAUUCAGCGAAGCUUUCAUAUCGAUCCAAAAUCAAUUUAAUGGUAUACAUCAUGGCUGGGCUGUAAGUCGAUGUAUAUCUUGAUCGCUCUCAUAUUUGAUAUAAUUGGAUUAUGGUUUCAAAAUUGAGUAAUGAGUCACUUUCUUAAGUACUAUACACAGCCUUUUUCGGUUUUUAUUCCCGUCUUUUUUAACACUUUUAUAUGCAUUUUGUAGGUAAAUCCACAAUUGUAUGGAGAUAAUCUUACACGAACGUUUAGUUCUUGGACUGUAAGUCGUCUUCAAACCUUCAUUUAUGUGGAAUUUUGUUACAUAAGAUUAGUGUGGACUGGAUUAUGAGUUGGAUAUUUGGCUAGCAAUAGGCCGAUGCUUUUGAAAGGACUGGGUGUUUCAACUCUUUGUGUCCUGGCAUCGUACAAAUUAGUCAAAAACAUUAUAUGGGCGAGGCACUGAAGAUCUCAAAAUAUGGCGCAUCUCGACAGUAUGUUUUGGACAGACUCAUUUUUAAGGUAAGACAUUUUAUGUCAGUAGUUAUUUUUUCUACGUAAAUUGCUAACACCAAUUUAUUUUCCACUUUGUUGAUGUAUUAUAGUGCUAUAUUGGUAACAAGUUUUAUGCUAUGAUUAUAGUGCAUCAAAAACCACUUCAAAAGAGAUAUUAGGAGAAAUUUUUGAAUACAAAUUAUCACUAUUUUCUUUGUUAGAGACAAACAACCCAUGAAGGAGUUAUCUUAUUUUUAAAGAAAUAAGAGGAAGAUAAAAAAUUAGGUCAUAUUUGCCAACUAUUUUCAAGAACAGUUUUCUACUCGAGAGAAUAGUUUUCUUUUCUCUAGAAAAAAAAAACAGAAAAACAUGUUUGACAAUCAGAAAACGAGAUAUUUUUAAAGAACACAUUUCAGUUGUUUUCAAUGUUUUCAUUUAGUUUGUUUUCAGAUAAUAUUUUUUAGUUGUUUAUAGUUGUUUUUUUAAGAAUUGUUUUAAAAAAAUAAUUAUAUAAAUAUAUAGAAUGAUUAAAUAUAAAAAUUAUUUUUAAAAUAUAUUUUAAAAUAUUAAAAACAUGUUAAGAACAUUUUAAAUUCCCAAAUAAUUUUUUGUUUUACAAAAUAUCAUAGUACAAUUUUCAAAUACCGUUUUCAAAAAAUAUUUUUUUAAAAUUGUUUUGGAAAAUAGUUAUCAAGCGGAGUCUUAUUUCUCAUAGCAUUGCUCUUAUCGAUAGCAUAUAUUAUGUCAUGAUUUUGUAGCUAGUUAUCAUGUGUACUUAUACCAAAUCCUUUGUUAACAUUAUACUAAAUCAUUUACAUUUUUCUAACCAUGGUAUUAUUAUGAUUAUUUCUUAAUUGUAGGAUCCAAAAACAGGAAACUGGUGGAUAGUGGGUAAUCCAAGGAGUAAACAAAAGUCUUUCAUUGAAUACUGGCCAAAGUCCAUAUUCACAACCAUGGCUGAGUUUGCUUCAGAGAUACAGUUUGGAGGAGAUGUUUAUAGCCCUAUAAGCGAGCCUGCCCCACCAAUGGGUAGUGGGGAUUUCAAUAAUAAUUUCAAAAGGACAUGUUAUAUUAGUCGCAUUCGUCUUGUUGAUUCAUCAAAUGCACUGUUCGAACCCGAAAAUAUAAGUAUUCAAGCAUUUACAGACAAACCUAGUUGUUACCAGGUGAGUUAUGAAGGAUUCACAGGUGAGUUUGAAAGAUAUGCUAUGCUGUUUGGGGGACCUGGAGGCCCAGCUUGUAAUGCUAAAUGAAGUGAAAGUACUUUUGGGUCAUGAAUAAAUAUCGAUCUUUCGUUAUGUCUUAGGAUUUUCAUCAUGGUUCAUUACACCAUUAUCGGUCAUUAUUAUUUUUCUUAUGUCGUUUGAGAGUAAUGUUCACUUGGAAACUACAAACGUAUUUAACGGUAAUUUUAGAAAACGUUUUUAAUCUUUUUUAAUACUUGAAAAUAACCUUUUUUUAAUGAAAUUCUUCAAAUAUUAAAAAAGUUAUAAACACGUUUUAAAAUUAUUAUCAAAUAAAUUAGAAGUAUUUCCUAAAAUUAUUGUCAACGAGCUAUAGAACCUUUAUAUCACUUUGAUUUUACUUAGGUUUUGUCUUUCUCUCUCUCUUUUAUUUGAAUUCCGAACUUUGUCAAAGAUUUCUCUAAUCAAAAAGCUAAUUUGUUUCUAGUUUUAUUUCUAUUUAUGGAAUACAGCGACAUGAAUAUGCAAACCCUAAUAAAGGAUGAGAGCUAUUGUAAUUUUUCUUGCAUUUCUCUCUUCAUUAAUUUUGAAAAUAAAAUUAGCAAAAAACAAGAACAAAGGUUACUACUUUGCCCACCUUUGGGGUGAGGUAGGUUCGAAGUCUAGCUCAUCCCUUAAAUUUGGUGGUUUAGGAUAUGUUUGAAAAUUGUUUUCAAAAACAAUUUUUCUUUUUUUAGGAACAAGAAAUAGACAAGUAUGUUUAAUAACCAAAAAACAUAAACAUUUUUUUUUAAUAAUAUAUUUUAGUUGUUUAUGCUUGUAUUAUGAGGAAUGAUUUAAAAAAUAAUUGUAAGAAUGCGGAAAUGAUUGAAAAUAAAGCACUAUAUAGAAAUUAUUUUAAAAAAUAUAUAUAAAAUAAGUUAAGAACAUUUCAAGUUUCGAAACAAACUUUUGUUUCAUAAAACAUCAAAAAACAAUUUUCAAAAAUAAUUCUUAAUUAAAACUUAUUUUUAGAACUAUUUUUAAAAUUGAUUUUGAAAAUUAUUUAUUCUAUAAUAUUUUGUAGAACAAAAAUGUACUUGAGAACUUGUAAUAUUCUAUUUUAUAUGUUUUUAAAUGUUUUUUAAUAAUAACUUUUAUACGUAGUUCUUUAUUUUCAAUUAUUCUUCAUAUUUGUAUAAUUAUAUUUUAAAAUAACUUUAAAAAACAAGUAAAAAUUAUUGAAAACAAAUGUUAUGUUUUAUACUUUAAGAACAAAAAACAAUGUUGUAUUUUCUUAUCAACAAAUAUAUUUUCUUAUUUUUUAAUAAAUGUAAUGAUGAAUUGGGCAUGGUCUUUAGGCUAACUAACCAUGUUUUUUACUUUUAUUUCAUUUUUGUUAUAUAUUUGCUUUUCUUUGUAAUGAUUUUUGUGAAACAUUUGAGUUAUAUUUUUGUAUAAUUUUGUAGAAUUUGAAAGCCAUGAAGCAAAAAAAUACAAUUUAAUGAGAAAAUGGUAGAAAAUGAGUCAUUGCAAAGGUCAUUUUCAUGCUCUCUAGUGCAUUUCACACUAUCAUAACAAAAUUCAAAUAAUCAUACGAAAUUGCUAUGCAAAUAAUCACUUGUGCAAAAAUUUGAAUCAUCAUGUGAAAUUUUUAUGCAAAACAUUUAGUUUAAUAGUUUCUUUUUUUUCUUACUAUUUUUCAUAACCAAAGAUAACGAAAGAAAAAAAGCUCAAAAAACUAAGAAAGGACAAACAAACCAGCCUUAAAUCGGAUUAUCAAAACAAGAAAAUGUAAUAAUUCGACGAGGAUUAUGGUUUACAAUUUGGACACACAUUUUCAAUACAAGACAUUUUCUUUUUUCAUGUAUGUAUAAAUAAAUAAAUAAUGUAUCUAAAAAAAUUAAAUAUAAAAAAUAAAAAUAAAUUAAAUAAAUAAAUUAAAUUACAUUAAAUCACUCCCUCGUGGUGUUAAAAAUUCAGUAAGUACAUAACAAAAGCAACAAACCACGAAGAGGGAAGAACAAAACUGAAAAAUGGCAGUGCUAAUCCAAAAGCCGCACGCUCUCCUCCACACACCAAUUCUCAUCACCCCCACCAAACCCAGACUCAGAAUCAAGUGCCAGGACUCCUCUGAGCCUCAAAAGCCCUCCACCAGUGCCCAACCCACUUCUCCAGGACAGGGCUUUGGAUCCGCUUCUUCAACUGUCAAAACAGCAGUCAAUAAGAAGAAAGAGAAGGGUAGAAGGGAGAGGGCAUCCAUAAUCCGUCGAUCACCAGUUCAAAAACCGGAGUUUCUUGGUGUAGAAGAACAGGGCGAGUCUAAGGAGCAGGGUAGAAAUGAGAGUGCUUUUCUUCUUGCUUGGCUAGGCCUUGGUGGGAUCAUUCUUGUGGAGGGCAUUGUUCUUGCUGCUUCUGGUACGCUUUCUUAUCUUGGAUUUGUUGGGAGUUAAUGAAAUUUAGAUGCUAAUUCUGCAUUCUGGGUUCUGGGUUUUAUUUGCUUUGAUUGUGUGGUUUCUCUUUCUAGGACCAAAUCUAAAUGAAGAACGGAAGGGGAAAGGAAAUAAAAGGAUAUGCGUUUCAUUUCCUUUCUAAUUUAGCAAAUUGUUUCAGGAAAAAUGAAAUGUCAAACAAUUUUUUUAUCCACCCUGUUGCCCUUGGUGUGAUCAGAAAAAGACAGAUGGUAAGAUUAAAUUUUAGAGAAGUUUUUAUAUGCUGAAGCGAUUUCAACCCAAGUUCCACCACUUUUAGGCAAUUUGAACAUGAAUAAUGCAUUCAGAUUCAUCCUAAUUGUCUUUUCUUAGUUCCAAAUUAUGGAAUUUUUUGGUUUUUUUUUUCAAGUCUGUCAUUUAAUUUUAUAAGGGAAGAAUAGAGCACUUAUGAGAUGUGAAUAAGAACAUGAUGGUCAUUUAGUUGGCAAAAUGAAAAAUGAUACAAAUAUUAAUCUCACAGACAAAAAAUUUGAUUAGCAAAAUAUAUCUCUAUAGCAUUGUCCUUUUUGUGAACUUAAGAAAUGAUAUGGUUUAGAAGCUCUGUUGAUUUGUUUUAGUUUUAUAUUAUCUUACAUUUAGGAAUCUGCAAAUACCAAUUUUUGUGGAGUUAUGAAGUUGAUUCGGGUUUUUCCCUCCCUUGAUUAGUGGUUUUUAAGGUCAACCUUUCAAUUGUUGUCAUUGAAUAAGUUUCAACUCAUUAACACCACUGACUUACACAUGAGGAAACAUGGCUGAAUUUACUUGCUUUAGCAUAGUUAAUUAAUUUUGGCUUGCUUGUAAUUAAACAGUUUUUAGUACCUUGAACUGCACUUAUGAAUGGAAUUGGAAACUAGGAGAUUUGAGGCUUGCAGGUUUAGUCAGUUGUGGAGGUGUGCUCUUAGGGUAUUUCUUGAUUGUUGACUUGUGAUUGAAAUAAAUGGAAAUAUUCAUGCAUGUCUACUGAGGAACGUCAAAUGCCACCACCCUAAAAUGGAAAAAGAAAGUGUUUAUGACUAUAAUACUCUGGAAAACAUAAAGCAAAAAUAUACAGAGAUGAGGAUGUGAAAUGACUAAAUGGAAGACUAAGAGAGACCUGCUAAGAUGGACUAAAAUACCAUCAAUAUACCUGUGAGAUUGCACCCAAGAAACUACUCUUGCAAGAUCUGAGUGAAUUCUAGCUGAAGGUUUCUGAAGGAAUGAUGAGCAGGGAUGUGAGUAUGCUUCAUUGGCAAAAGAUACACUUAUGAUGCUUCAAUGCCUUUGUCUGUAAUAGGUAGGUGCUUGGUUUGUAACAGGUCGGUAUGCUUGAAUAGAGUUUAUUUGGUUGCUAUGAGUAGUUGGGUUGGAUCACUUGGAUAAUGUUAAUUAGAGUUUGACUGGGGACACGGACAUGUACUUAACAUUUUUUUGGUUUUGUCUUAUCAAUGGCAUCCUAUAUCUAAAGAAAACAGAAAAAAAUUAAAAAAAAAAAAAGAAAAAAAGAAAAAAGGGAAACUAAUUGACAAUUUUCAUCAAUUGUGUUUUCCAUAGAAUGUGAAAAUUUCUGAACUUGUUUAUGUUAAAAGAUGAGCUACAUUGUAUCGUUAGAUGAUUCCAUAGUUUCACUAGUGGGAAGUAGGCUGUCGGAAAGGCUUGGACUAGAUCCUGCUGACUAUCUAUAAAUGUACCCUACUAGCUUCAAUUGUUAUAUGAUUCACCCAUCUCAACCUUUUGGUUUAGAAUCUAUAUUGCUGCUUAGGCUAUUUGGUUAAAUCUUCAUCUACCAUCCUUUCAUUAUAAGAUUUGGAUUGGACUCUUAAUAUAUGAUCUAGGCCUUCUACAACCAUAUGACUAUUUGCAACUUUGUCUCACAUUUAAGACCCAGGUGUAUUUAUGGUGCUUCAAGGCUCAGAUUUGACAGGCUUGUCCACCAGAAUAGAGUUCAUUUGGCUGCUGUAGAUAGUUGGAUUGGAUGAUUUGGAUCAUUCUAACUAGGAUUUGGAGAGGGACAUUGACAGAAUCUACCAUUCUUUUCCUUGAUUUGUUUGGUAAAAAGCUAGUGUCUGAUUAGUUCUACUGUGAUAAUAGUUUCUUUAGUUCUUAAGAUGGACCUUAGGAAAAGCUUGGAGUAGGUCUUUUUGAUUAGUUGUGAAUGUACUGCUACUUGCUUCCUUGUUAUGUCAUUCACCCAUCCAACAAGAACCUUUCAACUUAAAAUCUAUGUUCCCACUUGGGCUAUUUGAUUUAAGCUUUAUCCAGAUCUGAACAGGGCCCUUAAUCUGUGUUCUGGGCCUUCUACAGCCGGAUGACCUUUUCCAGCUAUAUUCUCACAUCUAGACCCCAGGUAUCAUGUGCCACAUGUUUGUGGUCAUUGACUUAUUCAUAAUCUCCUCCAGCCAGUUGCCUUUUGCAUGUUCUUUAACUUUUUAUUCUUCGAUAUAGGGGGUUUGUACCGCUGAGUUUCCUCUUUGGAUGAAAAUUUUUUUUUUUUUUUGCCUUAUUUUUUUCUUUACCUGAAAGGAAUAGGUAAAACCUACCUGCAGCCUAGCUUAACUACCAAAAAUAUUGUUUCAUGUCAGAUGUCUUGUUGGAUUACAAUAUUCUUUACCCUAGUCAAGAGGAUUUAAGGUAAAUCCUCUGAACUAUACUCAUAAACCCACUGAAAAGAUUCCACAUGGCUGCUUUCUGCCAUACUACUAUGCCAAAACAUCCUUAUGGCUUCAUCAAUAAUGAAUGAUUUCAAUGAAAUAAAUGAUUAUCCAGUACUCAGACAUAAAAUGCACGAUAGCAUGGGUACUGCCCCAAUAAGAGCAAAUAAACAUAAUCAUUGAAUUUGGCUUGGGUUUUUCCUUCAGCUCCUCCUGCUUAAGAAGAUUGACCAGAACCAAGAUGAAUUUGCAUCCUAUAAUUAGCAAGUGUUCCAAGUAGCUCCCUAACUUGACUAUGGAGCUUUAACAGGGCUUAUUUUGAUUUUCAAAUUUGUUGGUUAGACCUCAUGUUGCCACAGAUUCAUCUUACUAUUGCUUAGUAUUGACCAGAGAGGGUUCAAAUGCUGGUGAAUGGCAGAGGUUGUGUUAAUUGCAUAACCUUGUUGUGAUGGUUUGGGCUUACAUAUUAUUAUUAGUAUCACUAUUUAAAUAUUAUAUUACAUCACAUUUUAAUAUGGCAUGGAUCCACAUAAACUACCCAAACUAGUCUGAUAUAAUUCAAAUAACCAAUCAUUCCUGCCCACUAAUCAGGGUUGCAGAUGGGGAUAGAUGACAUACUCAAACCCAAGUUGGGCUCAGGUGUGAUCUGGGUUUGGGUUGCUUAUCAGUUAAGAUCAUAUACCCAAACACACAAUGAGCUCUUUUAAUUGCACAACUUGUCACAAACCCACCUAGUUCCCAUCCCUACAUGCUGCCUUUAUCAAACCGUGGGUGAGAAAACAUAUAAUGAGUUAAGAAAGGGAUGGAAUGCACAUAUGUGGUCAUCGCUUGGUGGCAAAACACAUGCAUAUGAUGCCUAGGCAUUAUCUGGGUCUAUUGAUGGUUGUGAAAGCAACUUCCAGGAAGAGUAACUUCAUUCACAUGGAAGAUGUGUAUACUUUUAAGAAAAACUGUGGUGAUGAAGCUAACAGUGUGGACACCAAACAUCUGUAAAAAUACAUUCCCCUCUUUUAAACCACAACUACAUGCAGAAUGAUUCUCAUUUUUCCUUUACACUUGUCCCAUCCACAUCCUAUGUAAGUCGAAUGUCAUUUCCUCUUUUAAAGCACAUUAUAUUCUCAGCUGUAAUGUGGCUGACAACCGUAUGGCAUUAGCCCUGACUUUGCGACCACCACAUACCAGACAAAUUAAUAUCUCGUCCAGCAUGAUUCCUAUAGAAUCAGAACUGAUUUGAUAUAAAGGAAAGAAUAACAAACAAGUGAUGUAUGUUUCAAUUUGGAAGACUUAUGUUGUUCAGAUUUUAACUUUGUUAUUUUUACAUCCACAGGCUUCCUACCAGAAGAGUGGGAUAAAUUCUUUGUGAAGUAUCUAUACCCAUCUUUCACCCCAACAGUCUUCUUGUUUGUUGCUGGAACUGUUGCAUAUGGAGUGCUUAAGUACCUGCAGAACGAGGAAAUCAAAACCCCGAAAUGACUUUUCAUGAAUGUAAACAAUACUUCCAGGUUAUAUGUUUCCAGGUUAUGGGAGGAGCAUCUCACUGGUGACCAUUGAGUUGUUUCUUAUGGACUCAGCUUCUACCUGCAGUGCCUUCCACUAUGAACAGAAGGAUGUAAAAUAGCAUAACUCAGACAGUUGGGCAAAGUGAAUACAACUCUUCCCCAUAUGCUGGAGACUUUUAAGUAGGUUUGCACACUAAUUGAGUGGUGACUAGUCUCUAUGAGGCUAGCUUCCCAUAUGUAUGAUUUUGCAUAUUUGCUUCUGUAAUUUGGAUCACUCUUUGGGAUUAAUGCAUUACAGUUUCCCUUUUUUUCUGGGUGAACCAUCAUCCAUCUCAGUUUUCAGGGGGUGAUAGGACCACUCAUUAUGAUUCUGGAGAUUUUUGCGAUAUUUGAAUGAUUGUGAGCUUGCAAUGAGCAUCUUAGUAUCUGUUGUGUGUUAGUGAAUUUGCUACAAAUGGAUGUCCUGGUGUGCAGAGCCAUAUUAAUUUGCAGGCUUUAUAACUCCAUAGUGUUGUUCUACUGGUCUGAAUUGUUUUUAUUUUUCAAGGCAACUGUCUGUUUGGCAAUUUUUUCAAAAAUAAUUAUCAAAAAAUAGUUUUUGUGAAUAGUCUUUAAAAAUGGUCUUCAAUUAUUUUCGGAACAAAUUUUUUUUUAGAACUUCAUUGUGUAAAAUAGUCUUGGAGUCUAAUUUUCCAUGUACGAUGCACAAGUUUUCAAAUUAUUAUUCAUCUUUUUAAUUAUUGCUUAUAAUACUCUUUAAAAAAAAAAAACUUAGGUCUGUUUGAAAACGUUUAUGAAAAUUGUUCUUAAAAAGUAAUUUUUUUUUUAAGGACAUUUUCAAAAGCUGUUAUAUAUGUAAUGUUUUACUUUCAAUUAUUUUUCAUAUUUAUUUCAUUAUUUUUUUAAAACAAUCUUUGUAGAAGAAGUGAAAACAACAAAAAUAAUAUAUUCUCAAAAAAAAUCUUAUUUUUUAUUUUUAAAAACAAAAAAUUAUUUUUUAUUUUUUAUUAUAAACAUGAUUUUCUAUUUUUUUUUUAAUUCUCAAAAACCAUGUAGCCUUAUUUUCAGAAUAAAAUCUGACAAAAGAAAUUUUUUUUUUCAAAAAUCCAUCUAUUUUUUAUUUUUUUAAAGUAUCAAAUAGGCCAAUAAUUUUAUGGAGCCACCACAUCCAUAGUGGGUGGACACUCUUCCACCUUUCUCCACUUCUACUUGGGUUGAUCCUUUUAUAUAUAUAUAUAUAUUGAUGAAGUUUAACAAAGGGUUUUUUUUAUUAAAAGGUUGUUUGAAAAUCCGAUUAUUUAAGUUUUAAUUUUUUUAUGAUAAAAUGUCUUUAUUAUUUUCUUUAAAAAAUUAUAUUUUAAAAAAAAUCUACGUGUAAAUACUUGAAAUGAUAAAAAACAUUUAUGUAAAAAAAUAAAUUAUCUUUUAAGAAAAAAAAUAAGAAAUAUUAAAUUUAAAAAUUUAAAAAUUAUUUCAUCCAUUUUAACUAAUUAAUUCUUUAAUAAAACUUUAAACUAGCUGACAAAACUUGGUGAUAUGUAUUAAAAAUAUUAAACUUUAAGAACUAUAUAAAUUUAAGCCCAAGGGUAGUCCAAAUUAAAUUUAAAAAUGUUACAACUAAUUAAAGAAAAUCAUGAAAUUUGCUGGAUCAAAUUAAAUUUGUCAAAAUCAUUACAUUGAAUGCAAAACACUGACCCUUGGGGAAGUGUUGGAGUCACCUACAUGCAGGACCACUCAAUCAUUAGAUGGCCUGCUACAAAAUAAAAAAAUUUAAAAAAAAAAAAUGGAUGUUGGUCCCUCACUUCCAAAUUCCAACUCAUUCAAUAUAUAAAUUGGCUAUCUCUCUCUUACUCUGAGUGCCAAAAUAAGAUGAUGGAGCUUCUGAGGUCCCCCACCCCCUCUAAAAUUCUUAUUAUACAAUACCCCUUUCUCCCUUCCCAUGCCAUUCUACUUUCUCCUCUUCUUUUUUUAAAAAUAAUUAAAUGGGUAUAUUUUGAAAAUUUUAAAACACUUCAUAAUGAUUGAAAAUGUUUUUACUUAGAAAAAAUUAAAACUUAUUUGACAAAGUUUUUAAAAACAAUUUUUUUGUUUUUAAAAACAGAAAAUAGUUUUUAAAAAUUUAUAACACUGUUUGAUUAUUGUUAUUUAUUUUCAAUUUUUUAAAAACAAAAUAAAAUAGAUAAUAAUUUCUUUAAAAAAAUAGAAGUUAUUUUCAUCCGUUUUUAAAAAUAAUCAAAAAAUACGCACAAGAAAAUUUUAAAAAUUAAUUUCAAAAUUUUAGAUAAUCAUUUAAGCUGAUUAUUGAUUUCUUUAAAUGAAAAUAUUAAGUAAAACAUGUUUCAAAAUAUUUUCUGAUAAAAAUAAAAUAUUGUUAUUAUUUUAUUUUAAUAAUUAAAAUUUCUCUAAAAAUGAUAUCUUUAUAAAUUUCAAUUUUAAAAUAAAAACUAUUUCUUAAAAUUGUUUUAUUUCCACAGCUAAUUAAAAUAGAAUUCAUUCCCAUGCCUUAUAAUUCUAAUUUUCUCAAAUGGGCUUUUGUUGCAGGUGGUGAAGAGAAAUUUUUUUCAGGUUCAAAAAAAAAAAUUCCUCCCUUAAUCCCUAAAAAAUCCUCCAUCUUGUAUAAUUUGUAUAUUAAAGUCUUAGGCUUUUAUUACUAAAUUUUGAAAAUCAUUUUUAUUAUAAAAGUUUGUUGAUUAUAAUUUAAACCCAAAAUAUAAUAUCUUAUUCUCAAUAUUUAGAUUGAAUUUUUAAAAUUAUUUCGAAAUUUUAAUAUAAAUUUUUUAAAUAACAUCCAUAUACUUCAUUUUAUUUUGACAAUAUAUUUUUAUUUUAUUUUAGCAUAUAGUACGAUAUAAAUUAUUAUUUAACUCAAAUCUAACUCAAUCUAACAUGUUCGAGUCAUUACCGACAUACUAUCCGAUAACUCAAAUCUAACUCAAUCCAACAUGUUCAAGUCAUUACCGACAUAUUAUCCAAUACUUGUCAAUUAAAUUCCAUCAUUAAACAUUAUGGUUGAAGAUUCAAAACAUCGCCAUCCCCAUAAUAUUGAUAGAGACUGAAAACCCUCUAAUCAACACAAGUUUUGAACAUAAAUUCAUCCUCCCUUAUUUAUGACUUAUAACUAAUAACUAAUAACACAACCCAAAUGAAACCGCUCAAGCAAUGACAAUUGAUAAAUUCCAACACACAUUCUACUCCUUUCUAUAAAUACUAUACCUUAUUGUCACCUAAUUUGAUUGGUAGGUUCUCCAUCUCUCUUUGGAGAUCAUCAAAACUAAAUAACCAUUACCCUUUCCAAUCUUAAUAUUAAUAUUAGGGUUUAUUACUGCAAGGUUUUGGUUCCCGGAAAGUAUUAGGGAAAGAGAAGAAAUAUUGAGAAAAAUAAUUUUUUAUAUUUGGUUUUGUUAUAAAAAAAAUCAAAUAUAAUUAAAAUUAUUAAUAAAUUUAUAUAUUUUUAAAUUAUUCAAUUUUUAUAUAGAAGAUUGAAAUAUGUGAAAAAAGUAUGAAGUAGUAUAUCAAAACAAUUCAUUGACUUUGAAUUUAUUUUUUAUUUUUCUUCAUUUUUCCUUUUCAUUUACUUUUCCUCUCUAUUUUCUCUCUUUCUCAUUUUCCCUCAAACUUUUCGAAAACCAAACAUAACCUAAAAGAAUACAACUAAUCAUAUGACCUUAUAUGUGUAUUUAAAAUUCAUUAUUUUGUAUCCUUUAUUUUGUUGUACCUUUAUUUCUCGAUUCGGAUUUUUUUGUAUACUUUAAACAGUAGACUAAGACCCUAUUUGGUAACUGUUUUAAAAAAUAAUUCUAAAAAAUAGUUUCUAAAAAUAAUUUUUAAAAAUAAUUUUAUAAUGUUCUAUAAAACAAAUGUUUGUUUAGGAACCUUUUCGGCUAUGUUUGGUUCUUGAAAAUUUUGAGGGAAUUAUAAGGGAUGGAAAAUACAAAGGAAAAGUAAAAGGAAAAGAAAGUGAAGGAAAAUAAAAAAUAAUUUUAUUUACUACUUUAAACUCGUUUUACUUAUUUUAACUUAUCGAUAUAAAGAUUAAAUAAUUUAAAAAUACAUGAGUUUCUAACUAGUUUUAAUUAUAUUUGAUUUUCUUUGAUAUUUUUCAUUAACAAUCAAAUAUGAUAAAAUCAUUUUCCUUUACAUUUUUUUUUUAGUAUUUUCUAAUAACCAAACAUAACCAAAAUGUUUUUAAUGUAGUGUUUUUCUUUUAAUCAUUUUUCAUAUUUUUAUCAUUAUUUUUUAAAACAGUUUUUAAAAAACACAUAAAAGCAAUAGAUAACAAUUUAAAAAUACUCUAUUUUUAAUGUUAGAAAUCUGUUUUUAAUUUUUAUGAUCAUUAAAAGUGUUUUUUCCUCUUUUUUUUUUUAAUGAAAAAUAGAAAUAUAUUUCAAAACAAGUUAUCAAAUAAGACUUAGAGCGUUUUUGCUAUUUAUUCUAGGAGUGUUUUUAAUAUUUUUAAUAUUUAAAUUUUUUAUUAUUAUUUAAGUGUUAAAGAUAUUAAAAUUAUUUUCUAAAAUUAUUUUUAAAUGUAUUUUUAAAAUCUAUUAAAUUUUAAAAAAUAUUUUUAACCAUUCUAACAAUUAAAAAAUACAAAUUUUUAAAUAUUAAAAAUAUUAAAAUCGUACCUUAAAAUCAUUACCAAAUUGACUCCUAAAAAGUUGAAUGGGGAUACCCUCACCAUUCUUUCCUAAUAUUAAUAGGAGAAGAUAGGCAUAAUUAAACUGAAUGAUUUUUUUUAUAAAAGUAUCAUUUUAAAAAUAAAUAAAAAUCCUUUAGGGUCAAGACAGAAGACCAAGUUUUCAUGCGCGGCUGCACUUUCCGCCGAUGUUGACUGCUAAUAAUAAUAUUUAAUUGAAAUUAGAAAAGUAAUUGGAUUUUAAUGGGUUCUUGAGUGGCUUCCAGUUGGAGUCAAAUGUGUUUAGUUUGCCGUCUGAGUCGUCUGACCAUUCUCCUCAAUUUGCCAACCUUUUGGGUUAGGGUUUCACGGUCUUCAACCAAACUGGGCCCAACCACUGAUUUUAUAAUAUAUAUAUUCUUUUCCUCAAUAUUUCAAAACAAAUAUUUUCCUUUUCAAUAUGUUUGAUAUAAUAUCAACAAACAUUCUAUCAAGAAUGGUCUAAUUUUUUUAGAGUUUAUUUAAAAUGUUUUUUUAAUAUUUUUAAUAAUUAAAAAAAAAUUAUCAUUUAAAUAUUAUAAAUAUUUCUAUAAUUAUUAUGAAACGCACACUUAAUUUAUUUUUAUUUAAAAAUAUUUAUAAUAAAAAAAUAUAUCAUGAGGGUUUGGUUGGAAACUAUUUUCUAGAAUAAUUUUUUAUUUUUAAAAAAAUAAAUAAAAAACAUAUUUGAUAAUAAAAAAAUAUUUUUUAUUUUCUAUUUUUUAAAAAAUAAAAAUAAAAAGGUAUUUUCAUAUNNNNNNNNNNNNNNNNNNNNNNNNNNNNNNNNNNNNNNNNNNNNNNNNNNNNNNNNNNNNNNNNNNNNNNNNNNNNNNNNNNNNNNNNNNNNNNNNNNNNAAAAAAUAAUUAUACAAAUAUAUAGAAUAAUUAAAAAUAAAAUAUUAUUUAUAAAAUUAUUUAAAAUGGAUUAAAAAUAUUUUAGGUUUUAAAUAGAUUUUUAUUUUAUAAAAAUUAAAGAAAUUAUUUUCAUUUUUUUUUUUUAAAUUUGUUUUUUUAGUAUUAUUUUUAAAAAUAAUUAAGUAGUUGUGGUGAGAAUGUAGUAGGUUUAAAGUUAUAUAUAUAUAUAUAUAUAUAUAUUUUGAGUCAUACAUUAUUUUUCUUAUUUUUUAUAAAUUAGAUUGUAAAAAAAAAAAAAUGGAAAGAGGGGAGCAAGGGUGGCAGGGAUGAUUGGUAGGGCAGUGAGUGAAACAGGACAAAAGUUGGUCACUUUAAGAAAGGAAAAGACAGAAAAAGCAUUCAAAAUAGUUUGAAAAAAAAAGAGGCCUCGCUGCUGUGCUGCCUCAUAACCCUCGCAGCUCAAAUCCCCAUAAAGUAGGUGUUGAGUUUGAUGGUUGAUACAUAUCCCACCAAUAUUUUUUAGUUAAUGUUGUAACUAAAUAAAUUGUCUAUGUUAAUAGAAAAUAACAAUGAUUCUCGGGGACUCGAUUUAGUGAUCAUUGGAGAGCAAACCCAAGAUCGAACCUAUUGAACUACCUCGGUUAACGAUCGAAAACUUUAUUUUCUAUCAUCAAUUAUUCUAUUUUUAAUGACAUUUUAUUAGAAUUCUUUGAUACUAUAAAUAAAACCAUUGAAGUUAAAACCACACAUACCAUGUUUUAUUUUUGAAAAUUUAAGAAAAAAUAGGACAAAAAAAUAUAAAAUGUAAAAUAGAUUUAAAUCAAAUAAAUUAAUUUUAUAUACUUCUUCAAAUUUAUUUUAUUUAAUUUUUCUUUAUUAUAUAAAAAUUAAAUAAUUUAAAAAUAUAUAAAAUUUUCAUAAUCAAAAUCAGUUUUUCUUUCUAUCUAUCCUUGGUAUAUCCCGAACCAAACGGGGCCAUAUUGUUAUGAAAUAUAUUCUCUAAAAACAAAAUAAUUGCUUCGUGUCCGGAAAAAGUGAAGCUUGCAAAAGGUAAGGUCCCUUUAUCGCAUGUCCCUAUGUGCUUUGCUCCUCCCUCUCUCUUUUCUCUUUUUUCUCUUUUUUCUCUUCCAAUUUUUGAAAAAAAAAACAAAUAAUACCAGAAACAAGAAAACAAAAAACAGAAAAAACAAAAACACGCCACCAGCACAAACAAAAAUGUAUUUUCCACCCCAUCUCCACCUACUUGAAAAUAUGGCGGGAAACACCAAAAUCUAUUUAGUAUACGAACAAAGUAUACGUAAAUAUUAUUACAUUUUUAACAAACUUAACUAACUUAACAACUACUUAAUUAUGCAUUACCAGGUCCCCAACAAAAACACCCCAAAAAAAAAUUCAAAUUAAAAAAAAAAAAGAAGAAGAAGAAGAAAGAAAUAGGGAAAUAUUACUGAUCCAGUGCGUUCGGGCCAGUGCAAUAACUCAGCACGUGGCUCCACAGCCACUGAACCAAGAACCGCCGUCUGAUGCCAUUCAUGUUGUACGUGGCGCCAUCCUCGCCGUCUAAGAGCUGACCGGUGUAUGAACCCCCACCGCCAGUGCCGUAAAUCCCCUCACAGAGAUCCGCAAUCUCCACUGGAAAAACUGGGUCCGUCCCGGCGUACCAUGCGUUCACCAGGGGGUUCGUUGCCAGUUCAGCAAUCUCGUGGCCAAUCACGCUUAUCAUUCCGUCUAUGCCUGCGUCACCGUUGGGUGAUUUUAGCGGUUUGAGGCCCGGGAUGUAAUCCGGUACGGCGAAGGGGUAGGCGCACAUGCCUGGGCAUAGUUUGGCGGAGUUGCCCACCCAGGCGUACGGCAGCGUGUAGCCCACUAUUGAUGGGAAGGUGAAGUAGUGGAAGCCACAGACCUGACCGCAGAAAUCCUGGACGUACACGUCAUCA
RNAcentral lists this long non-coding RNA (34997 nucleotides) under Vitis vinifera (wine grape). RNAcentral's name for it is "long non-coding RNA (VVIN_LNC005450)". Lineage: Eukaryota; Viridiplantae; Streptophyta; Magnoliopsida; Vitales; Vitaceae. The record is from RNAcentral.